UCACCCACUAUUUUGUAAAUGUCUGUUAUAGAUGGAGAAAUUUGUACGCAAGCUUUGUUCAAAGUUCAUUGUUCCAGCAGCUCUGCAGGGCCUUGAGGAGCCUGGUGACAUUGCCUUUGGGGAGACGGCAAACCAUUUGCCAGGAAGAAAGUUGAACAUUGGGUUCACAACCAGGGCUAAACUCAACAGGCUACUUGACGAGGGUGACAUCACACCACAGCAGGUGGAUUCAUUCCAUGAAGCUGUGGUAUGUUUCCUGACAAGUGCUGUGGCCUAUGCACUAAAGAAGCUGCCACUGAAAGAGCCACUGCUCAAACAUUCAAAAUUUGUAGACGUACGGCAGAGGGCUGAAAGUGACAUCGGAGAUGUCCUGUACUUUGUUGAAAGGUUUGUUUUCUUUCCCUCUAAUUAUUGUCUAUCAUCUUAG
Molecule: long non-coding RNA, 427 nt
Filed under: Gadus morhua (Atlantic cod)
Lineage: Eukaryota; Metazoa; Chordata; Actinopteri; Gadiformes; Gadidae
Description: lncRNA (ENSGMOG00000023213.1)
Source: RNAcentral